Molecule: long non-coding RNA, 1036 nt
Organism: Eucalyptus grandis
Lineage: Eukaryota; Viridiplantae; Streptophyta; Magnoliopsida; Myrtales; Myrtaceae
Exons: 3
Source: RefSeq, a predicted model, not a curated record
AACUUGAUAUAAGUUUUUGUAAUAGGCUUCAAUUACUACCAGACCUCCCCACAAGUUUAACAAACCUAAGGAUAAAGUCUCCAUCGUUGCUGGCAGUACCCGACCUCUCGAACCUCACUAGUUUAAAUAAUCUAAUGAUAAGUGAUUGCAUUUAUACUUGUGUGAGAAACCAACCGUUGCCAUUUGUACCAGGACGAAUUCGACGUCCGAACCUAAGUUAUCUCGGAGGGCUUCAUAAAUUGCAGUGGUUGUACGUGGAUUUUUGCGAUACUACCAUGCGUCCAACUGACUUGAGAUCCCUUUCUCAGCUCUGGAAGUUAGAAAUAACUUGUGCCGACCUACGGCUUCUAACUGGGUUUCCGUCCAGUUUGAAAUCGUUGAACUUACAAGGUGUGAAGGCCCCAAUAGAAUGGUCAAUAUUCUCCAACCUGGACAAUUUGUGUCAGGUACUGCAAGUGUUGGAAUGGGAGGGGCUUCUGAGGAUAUCCAAUGUUUCGAGCUUAAAGGAGCAUCAAAAUUUGUUUGUGACGAGAUGCCCAGAAUUAAUUGAGAUCGAACUUGAACGGUUUUCAACUGGAGAUUGCAGUUCCAAAGAAAGGCUCCUCCCUGAUGCUUUGAAGCUGGAGAAGUUAUGUUCGUUGAAGGUCCGUGAUUGUGCAUCAUUGCAAAAGAUACCAAACACAUGUCAUACGACUGUUCGGAAUUGCCCGAGAGUUGGUCCAUAUGAAAAGUCAAGAGCAGCAAAAAGAGAGGGAGGAAGCUAGUCGGCAAAGCAAAGAGGAAACAGAAGAAAGAGUGUGGAAUCCGACUGGCGAACCACCGCGCCGCGCCUCUGGCUCCGGUUCCGGCCCCCACUCGUCCAUCCCUUACUUUUUCUCUCUCCUCGCGUCUCUGUCUGCCCUCCCUCUCUUCGAUAGCGAACCACCGCGCCCCCUCCGGCUCCAGAUCCGGCACCGGCUUGUCCAGGAUGUGGCGGUGAAGGUAUUCUCGAUGCAAGAAUAUUCAGAAGAAUUGAUAAGCUCCUUUAGACAAGAGG